ACGGGGCGCAGCAGGCGCGAAAGCUUCACACUGCAGGAAACUGUGAUGAGGGAACUCCAAGUGCAUGCACAAUGUGUAUGCUUUUCUUAACUUUUAAUCGGUUUUGGAAUAAGGGCUGGGAAAGGCCGGUGCCAGCAGCCGCGGUAAU
RNAcentral lists this ribosomal RNA (148 nucleotides) under uncultured archaeon. RNAcentral describes it as "partial 16S ribosomal RNA". It matches the Rfam family "Archaeal small subunit ribosomal RNA", at positions 325 to 474 of the family's 1478-position model. The record is from RNAcentral.